GGAAAAGAAACCAACAGGGAUUGCCUCAGUAACGGCGAGUGAAGCGGCAACAGCUCAAAUUUGAAAUCUGACUUACGUCCGAGUUGUAAUUUGCAGAGGAAGCCUCGGGGACGAUACCGGUCUAAGUUCCUUGGAACAGGACGUCAUAGAGGGUGAGAAUCCCGUAUGUGACCGGCUGUCAACUCCAUGUGAGGCCCCUUCGACGAGUCGAGUUGUUUGGGAAUGCAGCUCUAAAUGGGUGGUAAAUUUCAUCUAAAGCUAAAUACCGGCCAGAGACCGAUAGCGCACAAGUAGAGUGAUCGAAAGAUGAAAAGCACUUUGGAAAGAGAGUUAAACAGUACGUGAAAUUGUUGAAAGGGAAGCGCUUGUAACCAGACUUGCCUACGGGUGAUCAACCGUUCUUCGGGGCGGUGCACUUGCCCGUGGUCAGGCCAGCAUCGGUUUUGGCGGUUGGAUACAGGCUUCGGGAAUGUAGCUCCCUUCGGAGAGUGUUAUAGCCCGGGGUGCAAUGCGACCCGCCGGGACCGAGGACCGCGCUUCGGCUAGGAUGCUGGCGUAAUGGUCAUAAGCGACCCGUCUUGAAACACGGACCAAGGAGUCUAACAUCUAUGCGAGUGUUUGGGUGUUAAACCCAUACGCGUAAUGAAAGUGAACGGAGGUGGGAGCCUUCGGGUGCACCAUCGACCGAUCUUGAUGUCUUCGGAUGGAUUUGAGUAGGAGCAUAGCUGUUGGGACCCGAAAGGUAUGUAACAUUUUUCUUUUGUCAGUCGAGUUUAGGGGAGAGAACGUUGGCUAAUUUCAUUACAGAUGGUGAACUAUGCGUGAAUAGGGUGAAGCCAGAGGAAACUCUGGUGGAGGCUCGCAGCGGUUCUGACGUGCAAAUCGAUCGUCAAAUUUGCGUAUAGGGGCGAAAGACUAAUCGAACCAUCAGAG
RNAcentral lists this ribosomal RNA (933 nucleotides) under Ainoa sp. LJL-2018. RNAcentral's name for it is "partial large subunit ribosomal RNA". It matches the Rfam family "Eukaryotic large subunit ribosomal RNA", at positions 55 to 948 of the family's 3401-position model. The record is from RNAcentral. Lineage: Eukaryota; Fungi; Ascomycota; Lecanoromycetes; Baeomycetales; Baeomycetaceae.